GACAGAGGGGGCAAGCGUUGUCCGGAGUUACUGGGCGUAAAGCGCACGCAGGUGGCCAUGCAAGUGCUUUGUGAAAGCGCUCGGCUUAACCGAGCGAGGCCAGAGCAGACUGUGUGGCUCGAGGAUGGCAGAGGUCGUCGGAAUUGCCGGUGUAGUGGUGAAAUGCGUAGAGAUCGGCAGGAACACCCAUGGGGAAACCAGACGACUGGGCCACUCCUGACACUCAUGUGCGACAGCGUGGGGAGCGAACUGG
RNAcentral lists this ribosomal RNA (253 nucleotides) under uncultured bacterium. RNAcentral's name for it is "partial 16S ribosomal RNA". It matches the Rfam family "Bacterial small subunit ribosomal RNA", at positions 524 to 776 of the family's 1533-position model. The record is from RNAcentral.